Molecule: ribosomal RNA, 425 nt
Filed under: uncultured bacterium
Lineage: Bacteria
Description: partial 16S ribosomal RNA
Rfam family: Bacterial small subunit ribosomal RNA
Source: RNAcentral
GUGGGGAAUCUUGCGCAAUGGGCGAAAGCCUGACGCAGCCAUGCCGCGUGAAUGAUGAAGGUCUUAGGAUUGUAAAAUUCUUUCACCGGGGACGAUAAUGACGGUACCCGGAGAAGAAGCCCCGGCUAACUUCGUGCCAGCAGCCGCGGUAAUACGAAGGGGGCUAGCGUUGCUCGGAAUUACUGGGCGUAAAGGGAGCGUAGGCGGAUAGUUUAGUCAGAGGUGAAAGCCCAGGGCUCAACCUUGGAAUUGCCUUUGAUACUGGCUAUCUUGAGUAUGGAAGAGGUAUGUGGAACUCCGAGUGUAGAGGUGAAAUUCGUAGAUAUUCGGAAGAACACCAGUGGCGAAGGCGACAUACUGGUCCAUUACUGACGCUGAGGCUCGAAAGCGUGGGGAGCAAACAGGAUUAGAAACCCGGGUAGUCC